UCCACUUUACGCCAGGCGAAUAGACUUUGGUUAAUGUGGAUAUACUGUAGAUCUGUGGGGAAGUGGGGGUCUGCCAUUCAGCUUCACUUAUUUGUAGUUAUGCAGUUUAUUCUGGGAACUUUGUUCCUAACACUUGUCUGUGACUCUUCAUUUAACAGGAACCCAGCGCAGAGAAGUUCUAAAAAGUGCUUAUAGUAUCUCUAAACUACCUAUACUGCAUUACACCCUAAGAAACCUGUAACAUAUGGCUACAGCAGUGUCAGUCUCCAGUAAAUUUGAGAUAAAAGACUUGCAGAUGAUCAUCUCCUGAAAAGAACUCAACAGAUCACCCUUUAUAAAUGUAUGCAUUAAGCGAUUAAAGCAGGAGGAGAUCCGAGUAACUUAAUUCACAAAACAUCUCCGUUCAUCAUUUCCUCCUGCAUUUAAGUUUCAAUUACAGUUGAAAAAUGCAAAAUGCUAUGUGAAAAUAUCAUUACUGUGAGCUAUAGCUAUACACAGUCAAGGUAAAUCAAGUCUAUAGCUUUUUGUUUCAAGAAUCCAUUCCUCUGGCACCUUCUCAAUCCAUCUAGCAAGAUUUAUAUGCAAGAUAGGAAACUAAAGGAAGAGAGAUUGGUCCUUAUAAUCUACUUCAAAGCACUGGAAACGGAACCUUUUUAUCAGCUCAACUUCAUCUAAAUUAACUAAGCAGCAACAAGCUCACAGACAAAAUACCCAUAAUAUGUGUGCGCAUAAAUUGAACCGGGGAGUGAACCACCACGUUCCCAAAUAUGACUGCAUGAAAAGAUCAAACUCAAAAAUAAAGGCUGAGAGAUUAUCUAG
Long non-coding RNA from Hyla sarda, 819 nucleotides. RefSeq lists it as uncharacterized. The record is from RefSeq and is a predicted model, not a curated record. The transcript is spliced from 3 exons. Lineage: Eukaryota; Metazoa; Chordata; Amphibia; Anura; Hylidae.